This 253-nucleotide ribosomal RNA is filed under the name uncultured bacterium. RNAcentral describes it as "partial 16S ribosomal RNA". It matches the Rfam family "Bacterial small subunit ribosomal RNA", at positions 524 to 776 of the family's 1533-position model. The record is from RNAcentral.
UACAGAGGGUGCAAGCGUUAAUCGGAAUUACUGGGCGUAAAGCGUGCGUAGACGGUUACAUAAGUCGGGUGUGAAAGCCCCGGGCUCAACCUGGGAAUUGCAUUCGAGACUGCGUAGCUAGGGUGCGGAAGAGGGAAGCGGAAUUUCCGGUGUAGCGGUGAAAUGCGUAGAUAUCAGGAGGAACACCGAUGGCGAAGGCAGGUCUCUGGGCCACUACUGACGCUGAGAAGCGAAAGCAUGGGGAGCGAACAGG